CCUACGCGUGGCAGCAGUGAGGAAUAUUGGUCAAUGGUCGGGAGACUGAACCAGCCAAGCCGCGUGAGGGAUGAAGGUACAGAGUAUCGUAAACCUCUGUUGUCAGGGAACAAAGGCGGGGACGUGUCCCCGGAUGAGUGUACCUGAAGAAAAAGCAUCGGCUAACUCCGUGCAAGCAGCCGCGGUAAUACGGAGGAUGCGAGCGUUAUCCGGAUUUAUUGGGUUUAAAGGGUGCGCAGGCGGUCUGUUAAGUCAGCGGUCAAAGCCCGGGGCUCAACCCCGGCCCGCCGUUGAAACUGGCAGUCUCGAGUUGGAGAGAAGUAUGCGGAAUGCGCGGUGUAGCGGUGAAAUGCAUAGAUAUCGCGCAGAACUCCGAUUGCGAAGGCAGCAUGCCGGCUCCACACUGACGCUGAGGCACGAAAGCGUGGGUAUCGAACAGGAUUAGAUACCCUUGUAGUC
RNAcentral lists this ribosomal RNA (459 nucleotides) under uncultured bacterium. RNAcentral's name for it is "partial 16S ribosomal RNA". It matches the Rfam family "Bacterial small subunit ribosomal RNA", at positions 338 to 795 of the family's 1533-position model. The record is from RNAcentral.